UAAGCCUGUGAAGGUGUGUCGUGAGGCAUGCUGGAGGUAUCAGAAGUGCGAAUGCUGACAUAAGUAACGAUAAAGCGGGUGAAAAGCCCGCUCGCCGGAAGACCAAGGGUUCCUGUCCAACGUUAAUCGGGGCAGGGUGAGUCGACCCCUAAGGCGAGGCCGAAAGGCGUAGUCGAUGGGAAACGGGUUAAUAUUCCCGUACUUGGUGUUACUGCGAAGGGGGGACGGAGAAGGCUAUGUUGGCCGGGCGACGGUUGUCCCGGUUUAAGCGUGUAGGUGUGUGUUCCAGGUAAAUCCGGUUCACUUUAACACUGAGGCGUGACGACGAGGCACUACGGUGCUGAAGCAACAAAUGCCCUGCUUCCAGGAAAAGCCUCUAAGCAUCAGGUAACAUCAAAUCGUACCCCAAACCGACACAGGUGGUCAGGUAGAGAAUACCAAGGCGCUUGAGAGAACUCGGGUGAAGGAACUAGGCAAAAUGGUGCCGUAACUUCGGGAGAAGGCACGCUGACACGUAGGUGAAGUGAUUUACUCAUGGAGCUGAAGUCAGUCGAAGAUACCAGCUGGCUGCAACUGUUUAUUAAAAACACAGCACUGUGCAAACACGAAAGUGGACGUAUACGGUGUGACGCCUGCCCGGUGCCGGAAGGUUAAUUGAUGGGGUCAGCGCAAGCGAAGCUCCUGAUCGAAGCCCCGGUAAACGGCGGCCGUAACUAUAACGGUCCUAAGGUAGCGAAAUUCCUUGUCGGGUAAGUUCCGACCUGCACGAAUGGCGUAAUGAUGGCCAGGCUGUCUCCACCCGAGACUCAGUGAAAUUGAACUCGCUGUGAAGAUGCAGUGUACCCGCGGCAAGACGGAAAGACCCCGUGAACCUUUACUAUAGCUUGACACUGAACAUUGAGCCUUGAUGUGUAGGAUAGGUGGGAGGCUUUGAAGUGUGGACGCCAGUCUGCAUGGAGCCGACCUUGAAAUACCACCCUUUAAUGUUUGAUGUUCUAACGUGGACCCGUGAUCCGGGUUGCGGACAGUGUCUGGUGGGUAGUUUGACUGGGGCGGUCUCCUCCUAAAGAGUAACGGAGGAGCACGAAGGUUGGCUAAUCCUGGUCGGACAUCAGGAGGUUAGUGCAAUGGCAUAAGCC
Molecule: ribosomal RNA, 1139 nt
Filed under: Salmonella enterica
Lineage: Bacteria; Pseudomonadati; Pseudomonadota; Gammaproteobacteria; Enterobacterales; Enterobacteriaceae
Description: partial 23S ribosomal RNA
Rfam family: Bacterial large subunit ribosomal RNA
Source: RNAcentral